This 378-nucleotide unclassified non-coding RNA is filed under the name uncultured Cryptococcus. Its description in RNAcentral is "sequence contains ITS2". The stretch from base 1 to 154 matches the Rfam family "5.8S ribosomal RNA". The record is from RNAcentral. Lineage: Eukaryota; Fungi; Basidiomycota; Tremellomycetes.
AACUUUUUACAAUGGAGCUCUUGGCUCUCGCAUCGAUGAAGAACGCAGCGAAAUGCGAUAAGUAAUGUGAAUUGCAGAAUUCAGUGAAUCAUCGAAUCUUUGAACGCACCUUGCGCCCUCUGGUAUUCCGGAGGGCAUGCCUGUUUGAGUGUCAUGUAGACUCAAUCCCUCGGGUUUCCGAGGAGAUUGGACUUGGGUGUUGCCGCUCUGCCGGCUCGCCUUAAAAGACUUAGCGGGAUAGCACCGUAGUCGGCGUAAUAAGUUUCGUCGGUGAAGGUUGUGUUGACUGCUUACAAUCGCCCUCGGGCAAUUUUUGACUCUGACCUCAAAUCAGGUAGGACUACCCGCUGAACUUAAGCAUAUCAAUAAGCGGAGGGU